GCCCGGAUGGUCUAGUGGUAUGAUUCUCGCUUUGGGUGCGAGAGGCCCCGCGUUCGAAUCGCGGUUCGGGCC
RNAcentral lists this transfer RNA (72 nucleotides) under Aspergillus brasiliensis. RNAcentral's name for it is "tRNA-Pro". It matches the Rfam family "tRNA". Rfam says of the family: Transfer RNA (tRNA) molecules are approximately 80 nucleotides in length. Their secondary structure includes four short double-helical elements and three loops (D, anti-codon, and T loops). Lineage: Eukaryota; Fungi; Ascomycota; Eurotiomycetes; Eurotiales; Aspergillaceae. The record is from RNAcentral. RNAcentral also lists the same sequence under 2 other names.